This 251-nucleotide ribosomal RNA is filed under the name Proxipyricularia zingiberis. RNAcentral's name for it is "partial large subunit ribosomal RNA". It matches the Rfam family "Eukaryotic large subunit ribosomal RNA", at positions 82 to 338 of the family's 3401-position model. Lineage: Eukaryota; Fungi; Ascomycota; Sordariomycetes; Magnaporthales; Pyriculariaceae. The record is from RNAcentral.
AGUAACGGCGAGUGAAGCGGCAACAGCUCAAAUUUGAAAUCUGGCGCAAGCCCGAGUUGUAAUUUGUAGAGGAUGUUUCUGGCGACGUGCCUUCCGAGUUCCCUGGAACGGGACGCCAUAGAGGGUGAGAGCCCCGUACGGUUGGAUGCCUAGCCUCUGUGAAACUCCUUCGACGAGUCGAGUUGUUUGGGAAUGCUGCUCUAAUUGGGAGGUAAAUCUCUCCUAAAGCUAAAUACUGGCCAGAGACCGAU